Molecule: non-coding RNA, 1020 nt
Organism: Equus caballus (horse)
Lineage: Eukaryota; Metazoa; Chordata; Mammalia; Perissodactyla; Equidae
Source: RefSeq, a predicted model, not a curated record
CACGGGCUCCCUCCAUAUGACGGUGGCUUGGCAUUCGGGACACCAGCUUUAGAUGGUGGCAGAGCUCUGGAGGCUGAGGAAAGGAGCCGAGGUCUGUUUAGCUCCAUUCUCUUCUGCUGAGAGCUCCACUGCUCCCUCUCCACUGCUACCGUCUCCUUGCUCCAAAUAGGAUUCUCUCCUCUCCUGGCCCACUCUAGCAGAGUCUUACACACAGGCAUUCUGAGAGUUUCCUCAAAGCUUUGGCUACUACUUUCUAAGGCUCACAAACAAACCUCCUUUCAGAAAACGUUAUCUGGUUAUAUUAUCCAAAAUCAAGACUUUUCACCUCAAAACUGGCUUGGAGAAAUCAUGGGUUCCUAUCAAGACGCCAAAUGGUACAGCAUGUUGCAUCCUCCUCCCAAAACUUCAGAAGUCCUAAGGAACUAUGCAUUCCCAGAAAUAACAAGAGUGACAACCCUGGGAAAUGACAGAGGCCUGAAGGCUGUCUCUUAAUUGGUGGGUAGCCUGGGGUUAGGGGCAGUGGGUGGCAGCCUUGAGGGGCUCAGUGUGAGGGAAAAUUUUAAGGACCGUUCUUGCCUCUCCCCUGAGUUGCUUGGAAGCGAUCACUUUCCUUUCUCAGUAGAAACAAGUAGCAACCACCCAGAUGUAGCUAGGAUAAAAUUAGAGUAGCAUUAGGUUAGCUGAUGAAAGCAGGGAAGGGCUGAACAAUCCUUGAUCCUUCACUCCUCCACCUCCUCCGUCUCCCAAGCCCCAGGUGACAACCUCAAAUGCCUCCUCAAAUGCCGCUUUCCCCAAGAGCUCAAAGGUGACAGAUCCUGACCACAGGAGUUGAGUGGUCACAGUGUUUCACGGUUUCUGAGACUGUCUGCGCCUGGGGCCAUCACCUCCCCUCAUAUUAAACUUACUUAGAAAAACACACCUUAGGCACUAGGUCUCAACAAAGGUGACUAUAUAAUACAGCACCCAGGAGAGGACACUUCUGAGAGUGAAAAGGACACACUAUUAAUAAUUAUUCUGAGA